Long non-coding RNA from Perca fluviatilis (European perch), 224 nucleotides. RefSeq lists it as uncharacterized. The transcript has 3 exons. Lineage: Eukaryota; Metazoa; Chordata; Actinopteri; Perciformes; Percidae. The record is from RefSeq and is a predicted model, not a curated record.
CUACCGUAGGUAGGAACGCCAACAGUAGAGACGCCAACAGUAGAGACGUCUCUACCGUAGGUAGGAACGCCAACAGUAGAGACGCCAACAGUAGAGACGUCUCUACUGUAGGUAGGAACGCCAACAGUAGAGACGCCAACAGUAGAGACGCCUCUACCGUAGGUAGGAACGCCAACAGUAGAGACGCCAACAUUAGAGACGUCUCUACCGUAGGUGGGAACGCC